RNAcentral lists this ribosomal RNA (869 nucleotides) under uncultured bacterium. RNAcentral's name for it is "bacterial SSU rRNA". It matches the Rfam family "Bacterial small subunit ribosomal RNA", at positions 593 to 1456 of the family's 1533-position model. The record is from RNAcentral.
ACGACAAUUCCAGGGCUCUACCCUGGGCAGUGCCCUUAUAUCUAUUUAGCUUCGACGUACGCUAGAGGUACGCGGAAUACCCAGGCGAGAGGUGAAAGUCGGUAGAUUAUAGGGUAGAACACCAGAAGCGAAGCCGUCUUACUGGUCCAUACUGACGCUGAGGCGAGAAAGCGUGGGUAGCAAACAGGAUUAGAUACCUGGUAGUACACGCCCUAAACGAUGAGUGCUUGAUGUCGGGAAUAAUUUCGGUGUCGAAGCUAACGCGAUAAGCACUCCGCCUGGGAAGUACGGUCGCAAGACUAAAACUCAAAGGAAUUGACGGGGACCCGCACAACGCGGUGGAGCAUGUGGUUUAAUUCGAAGCAACGCGAAGAACCUUACCAGCCCUUGACAUCCCGAUUAAGGAGAAUAGAGAUAUUUUCUGUCGGUUCGGCCGGAUCGGUGACAGAUGCUGCACGGCUGUCGUCAGCUCGUGUCGUGAGAUGUUGGGUUAAGUCCCGCAACGAGCGCAACCCCUAUCUUCAGUUGCCAUCAGGUAUGGCUGGGCACUCUGAAGGAACUGCCGGUGACAAGCCGGAGGAAGGUGGGGAUGACGUCAAGUCAUCAUGGCUCUUACGGGCUGGGCUACACACGUGCUACAAUGGUUGCUACAGAGGGCAGCGAAGCUGUGAGGCUGAGCUAAUCUUUUAAAAGCAAUCUCAGUUCGGAUUGCACUCUGCAACUCGAGUGCAUGAAGUCGGAAUCGCUAGUAAUCGCAGAUCAGCACGCUGCGGUGAAUACGUUCCCGGGUCUUGUACACACCGCCCGCCACACCAUGGGAGUUGGUUUUACCUGAAGUCAUUAGGGUAACUCGCAAGAGGGCCCGAUGC